UUUCCGUAGGUGAACCUGCGGAAGGAUCAUUAACGAAUAACUAUGGUGUCUUGGUUGUCGCUGGCUCCUCGGAGCAUCGUGCACGCCCGCCAUUUUUAUCUAUCCACCUGUGCACCGAAUGUAGGUCUGGAUGACUCUCGUCUCCGGGCGGAUGCGAGGUUUGCGUGUGCGUAGCACGUUCGCGCGCGUUGCGUACGGGCUCACCUCGAAUUUCCAGACUCUACGUCUUUUUACACACCCCAAACGUAUGAUGCAGAAUGUAGUCGAUGGGCCUUUAAAAGCCUAUAAAACACUAUACAACUUUCAGCAACGGAUCUCUUGGCUCUC
Molecule: unclassified non-coding RNA, 327 nt
Filed under: plant metagenome
Description: partial contains small subunit ribosomal RNA, internal transcribed spacer 1, and 5.8S ribosomal RNA
Source: RNAcentral